UACGUAGGGGGCAAGCGUUAUCCGGAUUUACUGGGUGUAAAGGGAGCGUAGACGGCGAUGCAAGCCAGAUGUGAAAGCCCGGGGCUCAACCCCGGGACUGCAUUUGGAACUGUGUGGCUGGAGUGUCGGAGAGGCAAGUGGAAUUCCUAGUGUAGCGGUGAAAUGCGUAGAUAUUAGGAGGAACACCAGUGGCGAAGGCGGUCUGCUGGACAGCAACUGACGGUGAGGCGCGAAAGCGUGGGGAGCAAACAGG
RNAcentral lists this ribosomal RNA (253 nucleotides) under uncultured bacterium. RNAcentral describes it as "partial 16S ribosomal RNA". It matches the Rfam family "Bacterial small subunit ribosomal RNA", at positions 524 to 776 of the family's 1533-position model. The record is from RNAcentral.